CAGGAUGAACGCUGGCGGCGUGCUUAACACAUGCAAGUCGAACGGAGUGUACUUUAUUGAGGAUUCGUCUGAUUAGCUGUACACUUAGUGGCGGACGGGUGAGUAACGCGUGGGUAACCUGCCUCAUACAGGGGGAUAGCAGCUGGAAACGGCUGAUAAAACCGCAUAAGCGCACACUAUCGCAUGAUAGAGUGUGAAAAAACUCCGGUGGUAUGAGAUGGACCCGCGUCUGAUUAGCUUGUUGGUGAGGUAACGGCCCACCAAGGCGACGAUCAGUAGCCGGCCUGAGAGGGUGAACGGCCACAUUGGGACUGAGACACGGCCCAAACUCCUACGGGAGGCAGCAGUGGGGAAUAUUGCACAAUGGGGGAAACCCUGAUGCCAGCGACGCCGCGUGAAGGAUGACGUAUUUCGGUAUGUAAACUUCUAUCAGCAGGGAAGAACAAGUGACGGUACCUGACUAAGAAGCCCCGGCUAACUACGUGCCAGCAGCAGC
Molecule: ribosomal RNA, 496 nt
Filed under: uncultured bacterium
Lineage: Bacteria
Description: bacterial SSU rRNA
Rfam family: Bacterial small subunit ribosomal RNA
Source: RNAcentral